UAAUCGACGUGCGGGAGGCGGUGCAAUACGGCCUGGGCGCGCUGAAGGGGAGUGUUAAUAUUCCGAUCUCGUCGAUCUUGUCAUCUUCUUCUUCUACCUCCGCGACGCAAUUGAACUCCGGCUCCCUUGUUGAAACAGCGCCCAAUGGCACGUCCGCAGUAGCAAGUACAAUAGCUCUCAAUCUCCCGUCCUGGUACCCUUCAUCUCUGCUCGAUACGGACCCGACCAGACCGAUCCAUGUCGUGUGUAGAUUGGGGAAUGACUCUCAGGUGGCGGUGCGGAAGCUGAAAGAGCUGGGUGUUGAUAGGGGCGGUGAGAGGUGGGUGGGAGAUAUCCGGGGUGGACUGAAGGCGUGGAGAGAGGAAGUCGAGCCGGAGUUUCCUGAUUAUUGAUCGUUUUGCUUAUGUGAAAAGUUUUUGGGUUUGUGAGAGGGGCAAAUUGGAGGUGUUCCAUUCAUGUCAUGUCAUGAUCAGAGUUCAUCAAUUGAAGAUAACAAGCCGCUUUCUCUGGCGGUGGAUAUUAGACGCAAGCAAAAGAUAUAAAUAGAGAUAUAAGCAUUGACAACAUAUCAUUCACUCGAUGUAUAUAUUCGAUAUCAACAAUAAUCAAAGAAUGUUCCUAACUACCCACCAAGAAGUUGAAAGGGUAUUGCCUUUUUAUACAAAAAAAGGGCUG
RNAcentral lists this small RNA (675 nucleotides) under Histoplasma capsulatum var. duboisii H88. Its description in RNAcentral is "Histoplasma capsulatum H88 hypothetical RNA". The record is from RNAcentral. Lineage: Eukaryota; Fungi; Ascomycota; Eurotiomycetes; Onygenales; Ajellomycetaceae.